GAUGAACGCUGGCGGCGCGCCUAACACAUGCAAGUCGAACGGCACCCCUCCUCGGAGGGAAGCGAGUGGCGAACGGCUGAGUAACACGUGGAGAACCUGCCCCCUCCCCCGGGAUAGCCGCCCGAAAGGACGGGUAAUACCGGAUACCCCGGGGUGCCGCAUGGCACCCCGGCUAAAGCCCCGACGGGAGGGGAUGGCUCCGCGGCCCAUCAGGUAGACGGCGGGGUGACGGCCCACCGUGCCGACAACGGGUAGCCGGGUUGAGAGACCGACCGGCCAGAGAGGGACUGAGACACGGCCCAGACUCCGACGGGAGGCAGCAGUGGGGAAUCUUGCGCAAUGGGGGGAACCCGGACGAAGCGACGGCGCGUGCGGGACGGAGGCCUUCGGGUCGUAAACCGCUUUCAGCAGGGAAGAGUCAAGACUGUACCUGCAGAAGAAGCCCCGGCUAACUACGUG
RNAcentral lists this ribosomal RNA (459 nucleotides) under uncultured bacterium. RNAcentral describes it as "partial 16S ribosomal RNA". It matches the Rfam family "Bacterial small subunit ribosomal RNA", at positions 28 to 507 of the family's 1533-position model. The record is from RNAcentral.